Molecule: ribosomal RNA, 494 nt
Filed under: uncultured bacterium
Lineage: Bacteria
Description: partial 16S ribosomal RNA
Rfam family: Bacterial small subunit ribosomal RNA
Source: RNAcentral
GACGAACGCUGGCGGCGUGCUUAACACAUGUAAGUCGAACGGAAAGGCCUGCUUUCCCUUGUGGAUUGCGGGUACUCGAGUGGCGAACGGGUGAGUAACACGUGAGUGAUCUGCCCCCAACUUGGGUAUAAGCCUGGGAAACUGGGUCUAAUUCCCGAUAGGACUGCAGGGUGGUGCCUGUGGUGGAAAACGAUUUUCUAGUGGUUGGGGAUGAGCUCGCGGCCUAUCAGCUUGUUGGUGGGGUAAUGGCCUACCAAGGCGGCGACGGGUAGCCGGCCUGAGAGGGUGGACGGCCACAUUGGGACUGAGAUACGGCACAGACUCCUACGGGAGGCAGCAGUGGGGAAUAUUACACAAUGGGCGGAAGCCUGAUGCAGCGACGCCGCGUGGGGGAUGACGGCCUUCGGGUUGUAAACUCCUUUCGACCGCGAGGAAGCCACCUGGUUGGAAGGGUGGUGACGGUAGUGGUAGAAGAAGCACCGGCUAACUACGUG